RNAcentral lists this transfer RNA (57 nucleotides) under Thelazia callipaeda (thelaziosis nematode). It matches the Rfam family "tRNA", at positions 1 to 55 of the family's 71-position model. From Rfam's summary of the family: Transfer RNA (tRNA) molecules are approximately 80 nucleotides in length. Their secondary structure includes four short double-helical elements and three loops (D, anti-codon, and T loops). Lineage: Eukaryota; Metazoa; Nematoda; Chromadorea; Rhabditida; Thelaziidae. The record is from Rfam by way of RNAcentral.
GGCCUUGUGGCCUAAUGGAUAAGGCGUCGGACUUCGGAUCCGAAGAUUGCAGGUUCG